CUGUCUGCCAACAUUUAUCGGAGUCUAUGGUUUUACGCCAAUGCGCUACGUAAGCAUGCAUAGCAAAAGCGAAAAGUUAUUAUACUUCGUAAAAUUCAGUCAUUAUUCAGCACGACUUUUGGGAAAUUUUUUAAUAAUCGAUAGAGCAAUAUAAGAUUUUCACCAGAAAACUCGACUUUGAAAUUUUAACAGUCCAAAUCUAUAAAGUUCUCUUCAAGGCUGAAAUAUUAAGUUUAGUUAUGAGAAAAUUACCAAAAUAGCAUCAUUUUAUCAUAUUGCAAAAUGUUCCCCAGUGCAGUCAAUUUUCACUAUGCUAGUUUUCUCUUCAUUAUAACACCCACGCCUUUUGAACAAUCCCUAAUGUUUCUAUUUAAUAGGUGGGAAUGAGGUUAAAAAAAUCGGUGAUCCGGGUCAUGGGGGACAUUGGCCGAUUCAGAUAAGGAAUCGAUCGAGG
RNAcentral lists this long non-coding RNA (454 nucleotides) under Amborella trichopoda. Its description in RNAcentral is "long non-coding RNA (ATRI_LNC001878)". The record is from RNAcentral. Lineage: Eukaryota; Viridiplantae; Streptophyta; Magnoliopsida; Amborellales; Amborellaceae.